Molecule: ribosomal RNA, 440 nt
Filed under: uncultured bacterium
Lineage: Bacteria
Description: partial 16S ribosomal RNA
Rfam family: Bacterial small subunit ribosomal RNA
Source: RNAcentral
CCUACGGGCGACAGCAGUGGGGAAUAUUGCACAAUGGGGGAAACCCUGAUGCAGCGACGCCGCGUGAGUGAAGAAGUAAUUCGUUAUGUAAAGCUCUAUCAGCAGGGAAGAAAAUGACGGUACCUGAUCAAGAAGCCCCGGCUAACUACGUGCCAGCAGCCGCGGUCAUACGUAGGGGGCAAGCGUUAUCCGGAUUUACUGGGUGUAAAGGGAGCGUAGACGGCAGUGCAAGUCUGGAGUGAAAGGCGGGGGCUCAACCCCCGGACUGCUCUGGAAACUGUACGGCUGGAGUGCAGGAGAGGUAAGUGGAAUUCCUAGUGUAGCGGUGAAAUGCGUAGAUAUUAGGAGGAACACCAGUGGCGAAGGCGGCUUACUGGACUGUAACUGACGUUGAGGCUCGAAAGCGUGGGGAGCAAACAGGAUUAGAUACCCCUGUAGUC